This 803-nucleotide ribosomal RNA is filed under the name uncultured bacterium. Its description in RNAcentral is "bacterial SSU rRNA". It matches the Rfam family "Bacterial small subunit ribosomal RNA", at positions 8 to 811 of the family's 1533-position model. The record is from RNAcentral.
AGAGUUUGAUCCUGGCUCAGGACGAACGCUGGCGGCGUGCUUAACACAUGCAAGUCGAGCGAAGCAGCUGUUUGGAAUCCUCCGGGAGGAAAAACAUCUGACUGAGCGGCGGACGGGUGAGUAACGCGUGGGGAACCUGCCUUAUACCGGGGGAUAACAGCUGGAAACGGCUACUAAUACCGCAUAAGCGCACGGCACCGCAUGGUGCAGUGUGAAAAACUCCGGUGGUAUAAGAUGGACCCGCGUUAGAUUAGCUUGUUGGCGGGGUAACGGCCCACCAAGGCGACGAUCUAUAGCCGGCCUGAGAGGGCGACCGGCCACAUUGGGACUGAGACACGGCCCAAACACCUACGGGAGGCAGCAGUGGGGAAUAUUGCACAAUGGGCGAAAGCCUGAUGCAGCGACGCCGCGUGAGCGAAGAAGUAUUUCGGUAUGUAAAGCUCUAUCAGCAGGGAAGAAAAUGACGGUACCUGACUAAGAAGCCCCGGCUAACUACGUGCCAGCAGCCGCGGUAAUACGUAGGGGGCAAGCGUUAUCCGGAUUUACUGGGUGUAAAGGGAGCGUAGACGGCAGUGCAAGUCUGGAGUGAAAGCCUGGGGCUUAACCCCGGAACUGCUUUGGAAACUGUGCUGCUUGAGUACCGGAGGGGUAAGCGGAAUUCCUAGUGUAGCGGUGAAAUGCGUAGAUAUUAGGAGGAACACCAGUGGCGAAGGCGGCUUACUGGACGGUAACUGACGUUGAGGCUCGAAAGCGUGGGGAGCAAACAAGAUUAGAUACCCUGGUAGUCCACGCCGUAAACGAUG